UUUAUAAGAGAAAUAAUCGAAGAACGAUCUCGUACAACAUUCUCCCGUACUUAUACGAAUCAAUACAAAUUUAAUGAUGGUAGGUAUAUACAAAGAGAAAAGAAAAAAGUAAAAGCCCUAAUUUCUGGACCAUUUCUGAGUUUGCGAACAGCCGAAUUUUCACCUUCCAUGAAAAAUCUCCAUCUCCCGAAGGUAAUCUUAUUCGUUGUUUCCAUUUCAAUCUUUUCCUGCCGAUUUGGGUUAGCGAUAUCGUCGAUUUGGGUUUCUUAUGUUUCUGCCUUGAUUCGAUUGUUAGUCUCUCUCGUUAUCAUCAGCAAGACGAACGCGUAUUAAUCAGCGUUUCGGUAUUGUUUGCAUCUCUGCCUUUAGGAUGGUAAUCUCUUUGAAUCGGCUGACUAAGACAGCUUUAUCUGCUAUCGAGUAUGUUCCUUUCGAGGCAGAUUUGUGGAAGUUUGAAUUAUUGGUCAAGGAGCAGUUAUUCAAAUAUUGGAAUGUCUUCUAGCAAUUCAAUCGAAUUCCUUAUUAAGUGGUGGAUGGAGAAGUUUUUGCGUGGGUAUGAGAGUAAUAAUUAGGGAGAUCGAGGAAGUAUGAGACUAUGCAUAGGUGCUCUGAGAUUUAACUAUGUUAUCCCCAAAAGUUAACUGCUGGAGUUUGAUAGAGUUUAUUUUGCUGGGUGUCAUCUGAUCCAAUCUCGAGGCGUGGACCAUCUAAACUUUUGUAGUUAAAUUUUUAACACAAGAACUUCAUAGGGCAUGCAGGAUUUAAGAUUUGGAUUCGGGUAUUAUUAUAUUUUUCACAAUUAAAGCUUGCUGCAUCGCUACUUGGCUUCAGUUUAAUUGAUUAUUUUGACUCGAUGUCGGUGUAAGCUAUCUUGUAUGUUGAAUCCUUUCGUGGAUUACUGAUGUAUUAGUAUCCAUACAGUGCAGAAUUUGAAAGUGAUGCCUGAGAUUUUAGUGAGAAUUCUGCGUUGGAUUAAAGUGAUAAUAGAUGAAGAAAAUUUAUCUAGACACUGAGAUAUUGGAAGAAUGAUGGCCGUACCAGAAAGUGAAGAGGUUGGUUUUAAGCACAUUGGGUUGUCAGGUAGUGAUUAUGAUGCAAGUCUCCCUAGCAAGAAAAGGAGAUUCCCGGUUAUACAGCCUCCUCCGUUUCCAUCUAAAGAUAUAUCUCCAGAUGGGAAUUUAACGAAGACUGAACAGCUCUCUCCACCUAAAGGCCUAUCUUUGUUUCAUACCAAUGAAGAUUUAAUGAAGAGUGAACGGCCAAGUCUAUCUGUGACAAUAGUUUCAAGUUCUAGUGAAAUCACAAGUCCUAGGUUGUCCAACAAGAACCAGGAUUGUGUUUGUAACGAGAACGAAGGAAAAUCUGAUAGUAUCCAUGUUAUGGGGCUUUAGUCCAGAAUGAUAUUGGAAUAACAGGAGUGAAGUUUCAGGAACCCAGUUUGGGAGGGCGUGCUUGUUUUCAUGGUUAUGUUGAACGUGAACACAAGUCCUUGAUAACCGAAAAACACACAGUUCAUGCAUUAACAGAAAUCCGUGUGGGGCUGGAGUUAUCAUCAACUAACCUCAACUCUUACCUUCUUGCUGCUAACAAUGAGGAAGAAAUUGAUGUAAAAGUUGAAUAUGGAGGUAUCAGUAGGUUUCAAGGAACAUAUGAAUCUGAAACUGAUUCCUGAAAAGAGUGAUUUGAAUUUCCUGAAGCAUAAUUCUUUGGAACCUGUGUUACUGGACGUGUCUUUAAACAAACAAGGAAGUAACACCCAUUGUACUGUGGGGUUUGAUUAUGAUGGUUCUCUUCAACAGUCAAUUAGGGAGAAUUGGGAUCUGAAUACCUCAAUGGAGUUUUUGGGAAGGCUGUGCAAGUGAUGACUGUCGAGUGCAGCUUCCAGUUGUUCAUGCAGACACAAUUGUCUCUACAUGUAGAUGCUUAACUGAAAUGGUGAUAACUGAUAUUCCGUCAGGAAACCUAACCCCUUCGGAUCAGGGUGAUCAUCUUCAUCUAAGUCUUAGUUCAUCUAAUCUUAGGUAUGUAUUGCGUCAAGAACAAAGUCCAUUCGCUAUGUUAGACAUUAGGAAAUCAAAUCAUUUUUAUGCUUACCAGGCAGAGGUAUGCAGUUUGAUGAUCUUAAUGGUGCACUAAAAGUUGUUAAGCCAGAACCAUUUGCCGAGGGCUCCAAACUUGAGUUUAGAAGUGAUAAAGAUAAUGGACUGGGACUAUCAGAUGGUGCUGCAAUGAAGCAUGAAUUAGAUGAUCAAUACAGUCUUGAAAUUCCCAACACGUUAGUAGUCCAAUGAACAUAGUUAAGGCUAAAUCUGAAUCAGUUUAUGUAAGCAAACAGAGAGCACUCGAGGCAUUAGGUCGAUCUAGCUUUGCCAAAUGUUAAGUCGUUAAAAAUGAUGAUGCGACCGAUGACUCAUCGCAGCCAGCGGAGAUAGCCAGUUGGUUAAUCCGUGACAAGCUUCUUCAUCUCCUAGUGAAACAAGAUCUAAUUUAGCGAGGUCGGUUUUUACACAAUCUGAUAGGGGAAACAAAUACCCGACAUGGCGCAUGAAGGGGGAAAAGUACAAUCUCAAGGAAGGUGAUUAUUUCUUAACUGCACUAAAAUUGCACUGAUUACUCUCUGCAUUGCUGAUUUCUUUUCAUUUUCUAGAGAUGGUCCAUACAGUGACUUUUCCCAGAAAUUUUAUGUGAAUAGACGUAAGAAUCUAUCAGCCCGAACGAAUUUUACUCGGUAGAAGAGGUAGAUUCAUUAUUAGGAUAAACCAAGGUGACUGGAUUUUAAUCCAGAAGUUCACAAUGAUCAAAUUCUACCAUUUGAUGCCUGUAGAAGUAAACACGGUUAAACUAAACCCGAGGGUCCAUUUUGUAGUGCUGGUCAACGGAGUAGACAAAUAUUAGAUGAUGGAACCCCCCUUUGUGAUAUACCCUCUAGGAGGAGGUCACCUGAUAUAAGAGAAGGACCUCGUAGAUGCAUUCGUGAACCUGGGUCCGAAUUGGUUGGACUGCGACACGGUGAAACGUCUACGAGGACUUUUGAAGACGAGACCAUGGAUCCAAUAUAUGCACACCCUCAGCCUCCAUUUGAAGUAGAUAGGCCUCCUUUUAUCCAAGACCAAAGGAACUUCCCUAUUCAAAGGAAAAGUUUUCCCAGAGUUGAUUCUAGAUCUCCAGGACGGUUCAGAGGACGCCCUCCUGGCCAAUGGUUUCCAUCCAAAAGAAAGUCCGACAGGUUUUUUGGACAUUCAGAAAUGGCUUGUCGAAGUCCGACAGGUUACGGGAUGAGAUCUCCUUAUCAAUCUCCACCUAUUGAUCGAGAUCUGCCAAUUCAAAGACGGAGUUUCUUAGUUUCGCCACUGCCUUGGUAUGGAUUUUGCUCGCGACCACGAACAUAGGAACUGAACUGACAGAAUCUCCUUUAGAAACAGGAGGUUUGAAGAUAUGGAUCCUCAAGAUAGGAUAGAGGGCGGUGAAUACUUUGAUGGGUCUGUCGAACCGAUUUGUGAUGGCAACAGUGACGAUCGAAGAAGGUUUCAUGAAAGAUAUGAACACAUCAAAGACACCAACAUCGGUACCCAUUGCAGCCACAAUGUAACAAUCCUGAUGGUGAAAAUUAUCAUAACAGGUAUUAUGAACGAAAGGCCGACGCCUUUCCGAUACUGUGCUGAUGAUGAACCAGAGUUUCAUGAAAGAGGUAAGUUUAGGGAGAGGGAAUUUGAUUUACCUAGACGAACAGGGAUGAUUGAAGAGCAUGGAGUUGAAGAUUAUAGACAUGCUCGACACUCGGAAUGAACAUACUAGGUUCAGGUCGGUCGGGUUGAAAUAUUUGUUAGACCCAAUAUAAUUAUUCGAGUUUGACUCAACUCAACUUGAUUGUUU
This is a long non-coding RNA of Cucurbita moschata (crookneck pumpkin), 3873 nucleotides long. RefSeq lists it as uncharacterized. The transcript has 3 exons. NCBI's taxonomy places the organism in Eukaryota, Viridiplantae, Streptophyta, Magnoliopsida, Cucurbitales, Cucurbitaceae. The record is from RefSeq and is a predicted model, not a curated record.